RNAcentral lists this long non-coding RNA (1201 nucleotides) under Cricetulus griseus (Chinese hamster). RNAcentral describes it as "lncRNA (ENSCGRG00015034129.1)". Lineage: Eukaryota; Metazoa; Chordata; Mammalia; Rodentia; Cricetidae. The record is from RNAcentral.
ACAGAGGUUCCCUGUGCUUUGGAGUCGGGUCAGAACACUAGGAAGUUGGCUUCAGAGAACCUUCCUCUCCACCCAGCUCCCUGCCAGUCCUUUCCCUCCAUAGCCUCACAUUUCCAUGCUCCCCUGGUCCCUCAUGCCAGCCACUCAUCCAUGGUGGGCAUGGCCAAGUGGGCAGAGCAGCAGCCCCCUGGCCCCAGACGCGAUGAUGAAGCCUAGGGACCAGAUACUGAGGAGCAGACUCAGAAAAUUGACCAUGGCUGAUGUCUAGUCCUUCCUUAUCAUAUCAUGCCCCAACCCCUGCCAGCUGGGAUGACUUCCUGGCUCAGGAAAUAGGUCUAAUGAUAACUGUGUAGUGCCCCAAGGUCUGUGUGCAUGAACACCUGGCUUUCCUGCCUGGAAUGGAUUCUGGCUUAACAUAUCACUGCGCCAACCUGGUGUGCUGGGGAGUGGUGGUGGUUAAGAGUGCAAGGAUGUGCAGGUGGGGCCCAUAAACUAGAGGUGUAAAAGGCCAGGAUGUUCUAGAGGGAGUAGAUGGGAGCUAAGGACUAACACUGCCAGGUGCCACAGCUUCCCACCAGUGUCUCCAGGCAGGUGGGGCUGCCACAGUGCUAGCUGCAAGUCCCUUUCUAGGACCCAUUCACUUCAGCUUGGUGCUUUGGGGUCCCAAGCCUCCUUGUCGAUUUAAGUCUAAAAAGAAGUCUGGAUACAGUCGACCCUUGGGCCAGUGAUGAUGGACCGUCCACCCCCUGUGCUUUGUUCAACUGAUGUGUUGUCCUAGCUGUCGUUAUCCCUGUCUUCCUAUCAGUAUUACCCCCGCCAUUCAGUGCACACUGUCUCUCUCAUUCCUUUCUCAAUUCCCCCCGAAAUGAAUAAAGUCUCCCCAGCUCCUGUUGUAUGGGCUGGCAGAAACCACAUGGACCCUUGUCUGCUUCACUUUGGGAUCUGGAGCCCAAGCCCAUUCCCAUACCCGUCGGCCCCACUGGCUGCAGGAAGAUGCCAAGAUCCUAAGCAGAUGGGAGGAGAACGGAAGAGUGGGGAGCAGGAAGCCUCCCAGCCCUGGCAAGCCACGGUGGUGGCUGGUGGCGGUGUUUCUGGGUUCUGACUCUCAGCCUGUCAAAGCUAUUCAGCUCUUGCUAGCCCUAAUCUGGGAUUAGGUUUCCUAUCCUGCCAGGGGGCACCUCUUCCUCACACAACUCCCAGG